AGGGGUUUUCGCGAGCACCCCUUCAGGCGCGCGCCCAAGUUUCGC
RNAcentral lists this non-coding RNA (45 nucleotides) under unclassified sequences. The record is from RNAcentral.